GUCUACAGCCAUACCACUCUGAACGUGCCCGAUCUUGUCUGAUCUCGGAAGCUACGCAGGGUCGGGCCUGGUUAGUACUUGGAAGGAGAUCCUAACUUAUAAGCUACAUAGUUACCUGAAUAACUAGUUCUUUACUUU
Molecule: ribosomal RNA, 138 nt
Filed under: Cavia aperea (Brazilian guinea pig)
Lineage: Eukaryota; Metazoa; Chordata; Mammalia; Rodentia; Caviidae
Source: RNAcentral